Eptesicus fuscus (big brown bat) is the source of this 80-nucleotide non-coding RNA. Lineage: Eukaryota; Metazoa; Chordata; Mammalia; Chiroptera; Vespertilionidae. The record is from RefSeq and is marked provisional.
UACUUGUGGGCAAUAGAGUGAUUUGCGUCAUUUGAGGGCAGUUCCUACAGGUGAAGCAAGAGCUUUUGCAGAAAAGAAUG